GCCCCUUCGGGGGUACACGAGCGGCGAACGGGUGAGUAACACGUGAGCAAUCUGCCCUUCACACGGGGAUAACCACCGGAAACGGUGGCUAAUACCCGAUACGACCACUUCAGGCAUCUGAUGGUGGUGGAAAGUUCCGGCGGUGGAGGAUGAGCUCGCGGCCUAUCAGCUUGUUGGUGGGGUAAUGGCCUACCAAGGCAACGACGGGUAGCCGGCCUGAGAGGGUGACCGGCCACACUGGGACUGAGACACGGCCCAGACUCCUACGGGAGGCAGCAGUGGGGAAUAUUGGACAAUGGGCGAAAGCCUGAUCCAGCAACGCCGCGUGAGGGAUGACGGCCUUCGGGUUGUAAACCUCUUUCAGCAGGGACGAAGCGCAAGUGACGGUACCUGCAGAAGAAGCACCGGCCAACUACGUGCCAGCAGCCGCGGUAAUACGUAGGGUGCGAGCGUUGUCCGGGAUUAUUGGGCGUAAAGGGCUCGUAGGCGGUUUGUCGCGUCGGGAGUGAAAACUCAGGGCUUAACCCUGAGCCUGCUUCCGAUACGGGCAGACUAGAGGUAUGCAGGGGAGAACGGAAUUCCUGGUGUAGCGGUGAAAUGCGCAGAUAUCAGGAGGAACACCGGUGGCGAAGGCGGUUCUCUGGGCAUUACCUGACGCUGAGGAGCGAAAGUGUGGGGAGCGAACAGG
RNAcentral lists this ribosomal RNA (688 nucleotides) under uncultured Actinomycetes bacterium. RNAcentral describes it as "bacterial SSU rRNA". It matches the Rfam family "Bacterial small subunit ribosomal RNA", at positions 74 to 776 of the family's 1533-position model. The record is from RNAcentral. Lineage: Bacteria; Bacillati; Actinomycetota; Actinomycetes.